UCCCCAGUGCUUAGCACAGUGUCUGGCACAUAGUAGAUGAUUAAUAAAUGUUUAUUAAAUUGAAUUUUGCCAAUUUGCUCUAUCCCUCAAUCCACUCACCAAUUUCCUUUUAACCCUCUAAUUGUUUGACUUGCCAUUUCUUACUUAUCUCCUUUUCUUGCUAUCUUUUAUUUGUCCCUCAGUCUACCUCUUCAGGGUCUACUCUGGAGGCAGUAGUUGGCACAGUAGAUAGAGUGCUGGACUUGCCUUUGUUCCUGUUCACAUGCUGCUGAACAAAACUGGAGAAAAUCACAAACCCAUGUUGACUGGACCUGCUAUCUGUUGGAGUCUACCAGUUUUCUCUCUGCAGGUGGAUAACAUCUUUCAUCAUGGGUCCUUUGGAAUUGUGGCUGUGAUUGAAUAGCAAGGUUUACCAGUAUGACUUCUCCAGGCGAGAAUGGCUGUUUUUCUGUAUCUUCAACUACUGUGUGCACCUAAGCAACAUGGAAGCAUUUAAUUUAUUAAGACUGUUGAACUUUGGGGCCCCAUUUUGAUUAGGUAUUAUUAUCAUUAUUAUUAUUAGGAUUAUUUUCUAUUGCGCAAGGGUUGUAAAGCAGGUGGGCUUGUACAGAUCCUGAAACACACCAGGAGCUUUGACUUUGCUGACAACAACAAUGUUUAUGACAUGUUUAGGAGCACGCAUGCACGGCAUGGGCAUAUCAAUGUGUGUGUGUGUGUAAAAUUUGGGGCAAAGAGAAUAGAGGAGAUGUGGUGGUGGUCCAUGUUUUGCCUGAAGCAACCAACUUUCCCAAAGCAAAAGGAUCAUUUGGGACUUGUUGAGUAAAUUCCCAACAAUGAGAAUUGCCAAGAA
Molecule: long non-coding RNA, 850 nt
Organism: Vombatus ursinus (common wombat)
Lineage: Eukaryota; Metazoa; Chordata; Mammalia; Diprotodontia; Vombatidae
Exons: 2
Source: RefSeq, a predicted model, not a curated record